Triplophysa rosa is the source of this 2640-nucleotide long non-coding RNA. RefSeq lists it as uncharacterized. The record is from RefSeq and is a predicted model, not a curated record. The transcript has 2 exons. NCBI's taxonomy places the organism in Eukaryota, Metazoa, Chordata, Actinopteri, Cypriniformes, Nemacheilidae.
GCAGAGUUUUGGUUGUCUCUGAUCCUUCUUUGUGAAAACUAAAGUUUUAAGUAUUAGUUCAGUAACACUUACAGAAAAGAAUAACAAGAUGUCUUCAUCUUUCUUGUGUGUUAAAUGCAACAAACACAGUACAGCUGUUGCUUUACGACUUAAUUGCUGAAAACGUCUUUGCUUUAAAAUGUCACUGCAAAUGCUGCUAUCUGAAGGCUGAAGGUGCGCUCAUCACAUCACAGGGACGCAAAGCAUAUCUUGCCAGCUUGCUCAUACAUGUAACAUGUAAUAUAUAAAAAGUAUUAUAUUCCGCCUUAAAACACCACUUCCCGAAUGUCUGUAAUUCGUACAUUAAGGAUUUCAACAAUAUCGUUAUCUGUAUUGGUAUAACGUUAGUUGUGAUGUGAACUCCUCCGCUAUUCUCCUUAAUUUAGAAUGAUUUUUAAAAGUUAUAACUUAAUUAUUGUUUAUCGUUAUAGUGUGAACGUCCAUUAAAGCUGGGUAUAUAUAUCUCUGUUAACUAUUACAAUAAUUAAAAAGCUAUUUUUGUCAUAUUAAUCACAGUACAACGUUGUCACAAUGUAGCCAACCUUUUAAGCACGUUGUAACAACGUUAUCAAAAGGUUGAUGUUUCUACGUUAUGUGGUGAAGUUGUCACAACGUUGUCACAAAGUAUCUUUUAACCUGCCUUCGGGGCCAUUGCUUUAGGUUCUGUGUAUGUUGUAUGGACAACCAGCAAACGGCAUUUAACCGUCACUGUACAGAAGCGCGAAUUUCAGAUGGGCUGUCUGUCAGAGAAGAGACCACUCUGAUUCAUCAGAAGAAUGCGUGAGUAUUGCUUUAAAUUUCAGUCACCAAAAUAGAUAAACAAAUAACUGAAUCAAUACAAUUUAACAAGGUAAUCAUAACGAGAAUACCCAGCAAACAAUGACCUGGCGGUGUAAUGCAGAGAAAUGCUUCUUUUAUGUUUCGCAGAACAAUGAAAGUAAUGUAAAGUAUCAUUUUGAGGUGAACUACUCCUUUAAACAAACUAUAGUACUAUUGCUCCAAAUAAGCAAACUAUUUUCUUUAGAAAAUGUAGAAAUCUUGGAAAUGCUCCAGCAUGUUUUAUUAUGGGUUGUUCUCUCUUGCUUCACAGGAAUUUGCUGAUUCUUUAGCUAUCCCAUUUCUUGAGACAAGUGCUAAGAAUGCCACAAAUGUAGAACAAGCUUUCAUGACCAUGGCUGCCGAAAUCAAGAAACGCAUGGGUCCUGGAGCAACAACCGGUGGUGACAAGCCCAACCUGAAGAUCGAAAGCACUCCUGUGCGGCAGUCUGGUGGUGGCUGCUGUUGAAGAGCCUAAACUCGCAUACUCACAACCACACCCUUCCCCCACGCAUAUUAUCACAUGCACCAAAAAGCAUUCUCACAGGACGAACCACUGCAUUAAGAGCCAUUUUUUUAAAUCUUCCUUUGACUUCACUGACCUGUUUUGUUUUUAUUCUUUUAGUCUCUCCUUUUCUCCCUUAACCAUAUCCUUUUCCUGCUCAUCUCCCCCCACACAUCCAUAGCCCCACCCCUAUCUUCUUGUGGCGCUUUUCCACUGCAUGGUACCUUCAGGUUUAGUAUGACUCGGCUCAGUACAGCUCAUUUCACUUCGGCUCAGUUUGCUUUUCCAUAGCAGUUUAGUACCGCUUCAAAGUGGGUGGGGAUUAUAAACUUCUACUGUUUUUCCACAGCAGUUUAGUACCGCUUCAAAGUGGGUGGGGAUUAUAAACGUCUACUGCCGUAGCAUCAUUUUGAAUGCGACAAACACACGCACAACACAGGAGUUAUGGAGCAUAUCGAUGGCAGAUGGCAGCAAAACAAAAUACUGCUAAAAUACCAGAGAGUUUGGGAAAUCUUACAGCAAAGAGCAGACAACGAUGCUCGACGGCGCACGAGGAUGAAGAAGAUGCUGUGAUCCCUGAAGCCAUCUACAGCGAACUCGAGGUCCAGCUUCUGACAGUGUAACAAUUUACGCAUAAAAUUCAACACACUCAAAGAGGAGAACAAGCAGCAUUUCAGUUACUCUACUGGGUGUUUUCUUUACUGGUUCUAUUAGAUGUUUUUAUUGACUUUGAAAUGCAAGUCGUGCGUUGACAUUUUAUAGGACACUUUCAGUUCUAACAUUGUCUAUUUCAUGUUUUAUGAAUAUAUAAUAAUUAUUUUAAUGUUCAUAAUUGUGACAGUUCUUAUUAGCACACUGCUGUAGUUGAAGCUACUACACUUUCAAUAUUGUGACAAAUAAACCACACUUUGAUUUUAACAGUAAGAAGUAUACCAGUAAUCAAGUAUACUGGACAUUCUCUACUAUUAAGUGUAUUGUUUUUAAAAAAUUUAGUAUAUCGAGCAAAAUCUAUUGAUGUUCGGAACAUCAUUGACUGAUGCUAAAGAAUAAACGCAACACUGGAUACAUUAAUUUGGUUUUAUUUGUACAAAUUGUAAUGUAAAUAAAAAUAACGUAAAUAUAUAGGCUACUUAUGACAUUUCUGUACUGUACGUAAUAUGCAUUAUAUGUGCUUGUGCAGUCAUCCAUAUUUUAGUUCUUAGUGUGUACUUUUUUGUGUGUAACUAAAAUGUCUUUGUAUGCAGCUGUGACAUGACAAUAAAGAUAUUAUAUUUUCAAAA